GGGCUUGGCGGCAGCUUACCAUGCAGUCGAGCGGAACGAUGGGAGCUUGCUCCCAGGCGUCGAGCGGCGGACGGGUGAGUAACACUUAGGAAUCUACCUAGUAGUGGGGGAUAGCUCGGGGAAACUCGAAUUAAUACCGCAGACGUCCUACGGGAGAAAGGGGGCAGUUUACUGCUCUCGCUAUUAAAUGAGCCUAAAUCGGAUUAUCUAUAUGGUGGGGUAAAGGCCUACCAAGGCGACAAUCUGUAGCUGGUCUGAGAGGAUGAUCAGCCACACCGGGACUGAGACACGGCCCGGACUCCUACGGGAGGCACCAGUGGGGAAUAUUGGACAAUGGGGGGAACCCUGAUCCACCCCUGCCCCGUGUGUGAAAAAGGCCUUUUGGUUGUAAAGCACUUUAAGCAGUGAAAAACACCUAACGGUUAAUACCCGUUAGCGAUGACAUUAUCUGCAGAAUAAGCACCGGCUAACUCUGUGCCAGCACCCGCGGUAAUACAGAGGGUGCAAGCGUUAAUCGGAAUUACUGGGCGUAAAGCGAGCGUAUGUGGCUUGAUAAGUCACAUGUGAAAUCCCCGGGCUUAACCUGGGAACUGCAUCUGAUACUGUUAAGCUAGAGUACGUGAGAGGGAAGUAUAAUUCCACGUGUAGCGGUGAAAUGCGUAGAGAUCUGGAGGAAUACCGAUGGCGAAGCGGCUUCCUGGCAUCAUACUGACACUGAGGCUCGAAAGCGUGUGUAGCAAACACGAGUAGAUACCCUGGUAGUCCACGCCGUAACGAUGUCUACUAGUCUUGGGUCCCUUGAGGACUUAUGACGCACUCACGCAAUAAGUAGACCGCCGGGGAGUACAGCCGCAUGUGAAACUCACUGAGUUGACGGGGGCCCGCACAGCGUGAGCAUGUGUUU
RNAcentral lists this ribosomal RNA (904 nucleotides) under Psychrobacter sp. RNAcentral describes it as "bacterial SSU rRNA". It matches the Rfam family "Bacterial small subunit ribosomal RNA", at positions 33 to 946 of the family's 1533-position model. The record is from RNAcentral. Lineage: Bacteria; Pseudomonadati; Pseudomonadota; Gammaproteobacteria; Moraxellales; Moraxellaceae.